This 253-nucleotide ribosomal RNA is filed under the name uncultured bacterium. RNAcentral's name for it is "partial 16S ribosomal RNA". It matches the Rfam family "Bacterial small subunit ribosomal RNA", at positions 524 to 776 of the family's 1533-position model. The record is from RNAcentral.
UACGUAGGCAGCAAACGUUGUUCGGAAUUACUGGGCGUAAAGCGUGUGUAGGCGGCCAUAUAAGUCGGAUGUGAAAGCCCUGGGCUCAACCCAGGAAGUGCACUCGAUACUGUAUGGCUUGAGUACUGGAGAGGUUGGUGGAAUUCUCGGUGUAGAGGUGAAAUUCGUAGAUAUCGAGAGGAACACCGGUGGCGAAGGCGGCCAACUGGACAGAUACUGACGCUGAGACACGAAAGCGUGGGGAGCAAACAGG